UAGGGAAUUUUGGGCAAUGGGCGAAAGCCUGACGCAGCGACGCCGCGUGGGGGAUGAAGGUCUUCGGAUUGUAAACCCCUUUCGGGAGGGAAGAUGGAAUGGGGUAACCCAUUCGGACGGUACCUCCGAAGGAAGCCCCGGCUAAUUCCGUGCCAGCAGCCGCGGUAAUACGGAAGGGCAAGCGUUGUUCGGAAUCAUUGGGCGUAAAGGGCGCGUAGGUUGUUUUGUGUGUCUGCCGUGAAAGCGUACAGCUCAACUGUAUUAGGUCGGUGGAAACUGCAAAACUUGAGGCUGGGAGGGGCUGGUGGAAUUCCCUGUGUAGCGGUGAAAUGCGUAGAGAUGGGGGAGAACACUCGUGGCGAAGGCGGCCAGCUGGACCAGUCCUGACACUGAGGCGCGACAGCGUGGGGAGCAAACAGGAUUAGAUACCCGUGUAGUCCCUGAGCGGGCUGGCAAGGCGCAU
RNAcentral lists this ribosomal RNA (463 nucleotides) under uncultured bacterium. RNAcentral's name for it is "bacterial SSU rRNA". It matches the Rfam family "Bacterial small subunit ribosomal RNA", at positions 355 to 825 of the family's 1533-position model. The record is from RNAcentral.